AGAACGAACGCUGGCGGCAGGCUUAACACAUGCAAGUCGAACGCUCGUAGCAAUACGGGAGUGGCGGACGGGUGAGUAACGCGUGGGAACGUGCCCUGAGGUUGGGAAUAACUGCGGGAAACUGCAGCUAAUACCUGAUGAGCCCCGUGAGGGGGAAAGAUUUAUCGCCUUAGGAGCGGCCCGCGUCGGAUUAGCUAGUUGGUGGGGUAACGGCCUACCAAGGCUUCGAUCCGUAGCUGGUCUGAGAGGACGAUCAGCCACACUGGGACUGAGACACGGCCCAGACUCCUACGGGAGGCAGCAGUGGGGAAUCUUGCGCAAUGGGGGCAACCCUGACGCAGCCAUGCCGCGUGAAUGAUGAAGGCCUUAGGGUUGUAAAGUUCUUCUGCCCGUGACGAUGAUGACGGUAACGGGAGAAUAAGCUCCGGCUAACUUCGUGCCAGCAGCCGC
RNAcentral lists this ribosomal RNA (450 nucleotides) under uncultured bacterium. Its description in RNAcentral is "SSU rRNA". It matches the Rfam family "Bacterial small subunit ribosomal RNA", at positions 26 to 518 of the family's 1533-position model. The record is from RNAcentral.